GACGAACGCUGGCGGUGUGCUUCACACAUGCAAGUCGAACGAGGUAGCAAUACCUAGUGGCGGACGGGUGAGUAACGCGUGGGAAUCUGCCUUUAGAUGGGGGGAUAACGGGUCGAAAGACUCGCUAAUACCGCAUAUGACGAAAAGUUGAAAGGAGUAAUCCGUCUAAAAGAUGAGCCCGCGUCCGAUUAGCUAGUUGGUAGAGUAAAAAGCCUACCAAGGCGACGAUCGGUAGCUGGUCUGAGAGGGAUGAUCAGCCACAAUGGGAACUAGAAACACGGCCCAUACUCCUACGGGAGGCAGCAGUGGGGAAUUUUACGCAAUGGGCGAAAGCCUGACGUAGCGACACCGCGUGAGCGAAGAAGCCCCUGGGGUGUAAAGCUCUGUCAGCUGGAACGAAAAAAAAUG
RNAcentral lists this ribosomal RNA (408 nucleotides) under uncultured bacterium. RNAcentral describes it as "bacterial SSU rRNA". It matches the Rfam family "Bacterial small subunit ribosomal RNA", at positions 28 to 457 of the family's 1533-position model. The record is from RNAcentral.